GUUCAAUCAAAUACCGAUGUCUUUUGGUGUUGCCUUCGAGUCAUUCCUCCUUGCUGUUUUUUUAAAUGGAAUGCCACAAGACUACUGAGGGAAACACUUCACACCCCUUGCUCAGGAGUUAGAGGACCUGGUUACAGUACUUACUUCCAGUGUGACCUUGGGCAGGUCCCAGUACUUAUUUCUAGUGUGACCUUGGGCAAGUCUGCCCGAAGCGGCUCUAGUGGGCCAGCUGACCUCUGGAACUCUCUUCCGGGCUGGACCUCUGACUGUACGAGGGCAGGACUGGGUCCCAGAGCCCUAUGUCCCAACGCAGCACCCCUGUCAGUGUUCAUGCCACAAUGGAGGCGACCUGAGAAGAAAGAGCCGAAUUUAGCCAAUCUUGAAUUUUUUGGUUUUUCCCAAGAGGGGGAGAGCCAAAGCUCUGGGAGUCUGAGGAUCACCUGGUAGACAUGUGCACAGCGUGGCUGCUGAAAGCUGGAGAGGAAUAUAUGAGCUGGAUUCUCAGGAGGAUAAAAGGAAUGAGAAUUCAGGAGUCCCCGCUUUGCUCAUGGCUUAGGCCUCUUGGCUGCUCUGACCGCAUUCUCUCUUUAUGAAGCACUUCCCUUUCCCUUUGUUAGCAUUAUAUCAGUGUCUUUACGUCAUUGGGCAGCCGGAGUUUCAAUAAAAGUUUUGAUUCGGAAAAAAAAAAAAAUGUUGGCAAGAGAGAGAAGGAGCUGCUGAGGAAAUCCCGGGAUCCAAGAAUGGGGCAGCAUGGGGAAACGGGGCGGCUUCCUCACUGCUAGAUUCCAUUUUGCUGGCCUAAAACAAGCAUAAAACCUGAGGCUGCCCAAUUCUCACCUGCCAGGGGCUCCCUUUCUUUCCAGCGUUACAGGGACCACGGGUCUUUCCAUCCACCCCGCUGCUACCCCAUCCUCCAUGAGCCCAGGACUAGCUCAGUUUUCUACACAGACCCCUGGCAAGGUCUCGGCAUGAAGCUUGUUAUGUACAAAACAGGAGAUGUUUUUUCAUUCUGUUCCUUUUUCCGACAGAAUGCCAGUUCCUCGAUGGCAGAGACAUUUUUGAUUUUGUACGUUUAACAAUUAGCACAGUUCUGGCAAA
Molecule: long non-coding RNA, 1098 nt
Filed under: Sarcophilus harrisii (Tasmanian devil)
Lineage: Eukaryota; Metazoa; Chordata; Mammalia; Dasyuromorphia; Dasyuridae
Description: lncRNA (ENSSHAG00000030887.1)
Source: RNAcentral